Cicer arietinum (chickpea) is the source of this 602-nucleotide non-coding RNA. The record is from RefSeq and is a predicted model, not a curated record. NCBI's taxonomy places the organism in Eukaryota, Viridiplantae, Streptophyta, Magnoliopsida, Fabales, Fabaceae.
CCAAAUUUGAGAGAUGAUUAAUUAUUGGGCAUAUAAUCAAAUAGUAUAUACUACCAAUUCUUAAUAUUUUACUAUAUAUAAACACGGGCAAGCCAAAUGUUUAGACCUGAUUUUGAAGCAGAGGAAAGGUUUAACAAAGAGAAACAAAGUGUGUUUAAAGUGAAAGUAAUGGGUAAAAGCACAAGGUUUUUUAUUGCUUCUCCAGAAGAAGGAAAUAAACUGUGUCGAUAAUGUACAAUUGUUGGCUUCAGUUCGGAUGAUUCCAUGGGCAAAGGCAAACCUCAAUUAUACUGCUCAGGCACUUAUCAUAUCUGCUGCAUCCGUUGCAUCAUUCUUUGUUGUUGCUGAGAAAACAAUAUUGGCGUGUGCAAGAAAACAGUCCCUGCUUCUAGAAGAGUCUUUGAGACAAGAAAGAUGAUGCACUUGAAUAUCUCAACAGAACAAAGUGCAAUCAGUAGUAGCAGUUCCAAAGUUCUCUCAUACUAAGUGUGAAGAAGAUGAAUAUUGCGGUUCAAGCAGUUUAAUUAGUUUAUAUGAUCGAGUGUCAAAUUGUCUCUCCCCAAGUUGCUUCAAAAAUAAUAAAUCAAAUUUUUUAAAUUUUA